Molecule: long non-coding RNA, 570 nt
Organism: Lolium rigidum
Lineage: Eukaryota; Viridiplantae; Streptophyta; Magnoliopsida; Poales; Poaceae
Exons: 2
Source: RefSeq, a predicted model, not a curated record
UCUGGUUUAGUUAUCUGUUUUCGUUUUUGUUAAGAUAGGAAAACUACACAGAUGGUCAGGCUCUCAAUCCUUCUUUGUUUAACUUGAUUUUUGUUUCUCAGGUUAAUCAUGUAAUCUUACAUAGAUAUUUCAGAAGCAUAUCACAGGAUUUCUCCGCUUGAACUGGGAAUGAUAAAUCUCCGCAGCUCUAUUUCUUCUUUGUUCCCAUAUAUCCAGUCGUCCAAGAUUGACCUAUUAGUUAGACUUACGGAGUUUUUGAGUAGGUGCACUAUUUUUUUACAGGGUCAUGUUCCAUGCUCCAGGACAUGCUGAAGAAACUGCAACUGCCCAAUCAAAUAACAGUGAGAGCACAAGAUAUAUGGUUCUGAGUGAAAGGAAAAUACUGAAAAACUAUAGCCAGAAUGGGCUUGUCAUUGAAGAUUAUGCUACCGCUUCUAUGUACAAUAUAUUUCUCUAUAUUUUCUUUACGUCUAUUUAUUACUAAUUACUACUUAUUAUCGGCUUGUAUUGCUUAACUGAUUUGUGUAAUUUUGUGCUGGUCCCAGUAAUUAAGUCAACUACAUUCUCUUU